AAAGUGUUUAUGAAUGUUUAGCUAACAUUAAGCAGCUUAUAAUGUAUGCCUGGUUUACUCCUUGUAUGUAUUAUAGGUUGUGUUAGUUAACAGUUACUGUGAAAAAAUUAGAGUGUUCAAAACAGGCAUUUAUGGCUAUUGAAUAUAUUAGCAUGGUAUAACGAAAUAUGACAACUCUAUUACGUUUGAGUGGUACUAUAUCAGUUGAGUAAUUAGAGAUGUAAUGAUUAAAAGGAGCAGUCGUAGUGACUUUUACUUAAUGGAAAGAGGUGAAAUUCUAUAACCCAUUAAAGAAAAACAACUGCGAAAGCAUUUCACUAGAAUGCUUUCAUUAAUCAAGAACGAAAGUUGUGGGAAAGAAGAUGAUUAGAUACCGUCGUAUUCGCAACUAUAAACUUUGUCGAUUUAGGAUUGCAAAUCGUUACAUUGAUGACAUUUGCAGAACUAUGUGAGAAAUCAAAAUAUUUAGACUCCAGGGGGAAUAUGGUCGCAAGUCUGAAACUUAAAAGAAUUGACGGAAGGGCACCACCAGGCGUGGAACCUGCGGCUUAAUUUGACCCAACGCGAGAAAACUUACCAGGUCAGGACACAAAAAGGAUUGACAGAUUGAUAGCUCUUUCAUGAUAUUGUGAAAAGUGGUGCAUGGCCGUUGCUAGUUGGUGGUUUGAAUUGUCAGGUUAAUUCCGUUAACGAACGAGACCUUAACCUACUAAAUAGCUGAACUAUUUUUAUUGCAGUUACAGGGUGAAAGCCUUGUACUUUGUAGAAAUACAGAGUUUGUAAUAUAUCUAAAUAGGUUACAACUUCUUUAUGGGACAAUCUGCGUUUAUAGCAGAUGGAAGUAAGACAAUAACAGGUCUGUGAUGCCCUUCGAUGUUCUGGGCUGCACGCGCGUUACAAUGAAAUAAACAACAAGUAUGACCUAAUCUGAGAAGAUUUGGGAAAUCUUUCUAACCUAUUCCUUGAUUGGGAUAGUGUUUUGCAAUUAUCGCACUUGAACGAGGAACGCCUUGUAUUGACAUGUCAUUAACAUGUCGAGAAUACGUCCCUGCCCUUUGUACACACCGCCCGUCGCUCCUACCGAUUGAGUUUCGAGGUGAGGCUUCAGGACAUUCGAUAUGGGGAUUUAUCCCUGAAAAGUCAGCAAUGAUUUUUCCUAAUGAAAUUUGUUCGAAU
RNAcentral lists this ribosomal RNA (1176 nucleotides) under metagenome. RNAcentral's name for it is "bacterial SSU rRNA". It matches the Rfam family "Eukaryotic small subunit ribosomal RNA", at positions 659 to 1764 of the family's 1831-position model. The record is from RNAcentral.